UUCUCCCUUCUUUUCUCUUUUUGCUACUCCUUUUAAUAUGUUUUCACAUUAAUCAUUUUGCUACUUAUUGGAGCAACUUUGAUCAUUGGAAAUACCACACACAAAUUAAUCCAGUGUCCAAAUCCCUUUGAAACAUUCUAUUUCUAGUGCAUAUGGGGAGAAGCACAUUUUCUUAGUGAUUGUUCUCUUUCUAGUUCAAUAUUACUCAGUUUUUAUAUCAGCUGCUUUGUCAAAUGAAACAGACCAACAAGCUCUACUAGCUUUCCGAAAUCUUGUUACAAGUCCUAGUCAUUUUUUGUUCAAUAAUUGGACAAAAAAUACUUCUUUUUGCUCUUGGUUUGGUGUCAAUUGUGGUACAAGAAAGCAAAGGGUCGUGGCCUUGGUUCUUCCAGAUUUGCAACUUCAAGGCACAAUUUCCCCGUCUUUGGCCAAUUUAUCUUUUCUCGGAGAGCUCAAUCUCAGGAACAAUCAGCUCCAAGGAAAUAUCCCUACAAGCCUAUUUCAACACCAGAGAAUUCAAGUAAUUUCAUUGGCUAUCAAUAAACUCAGUGGUGAAUUAUGGAAAGGGCCAUGGUACGUACCAGAACUCAGAGCCUUAAAUCUCAGGAACAAUAGCCUCAUAGGUAUUAUCCCUCCUUCAAUUGGAAAUGCCACAAAAUUGAUGAACUUCAGUUUGUAUGUGAAUAAAAUCAGCGGCAACAUUCCAAAGGAAAUUUGUAAUUUAAGCCAACUUAAAUUUUUGUCCUUGGCCAAUAAUCAGUUAACAGGUUCCAUUCCCGCAACACUGUUUAAUAUCUCGUCGCUACUUGCCAUAUAUCUGGGAGACAAUAGCCUUUCUGGUCCUCUCUUGCUAAAUGAAGGGAAUAUUGUAUCAAAUCUAGAGUCAUUAGGUAUAUCUUACAACCAAAUUUCUGGUUGCAUUCCUUCUAACAUAUGCCAACUCAUAGAGCUGAAAAUGUUGUCAAUAUCUUUCAACAAGAUAACAGGAGAUAUACCUAGAAAUAUUGGUUGUUUAUCCAAGCUCGAGGAGUUUUAUAUUGGUUAUAAUCCAUUAAAAGGGACUAUUCCCACUUCAUUGAGCAAUAUUUCCACUCUGCGAAAUAUUUUUUGUGGAAACAAUUACUUGGAGGGGCCAAUUCCUCCUGAAUUGGGGAAGCUAUAUAAUUUGAGUGAAUUAGGAUUUCGGCAUAAUUAUAAUCUUUUUGGGGAAAUUCCAGAGGAUAUUUUUAAUAUAUCUUCUUUGGAAAUAAUUGAUUUCGAUUCCAACAACCUCUCCAUGAGAAUUCCAGCCACUACAGGUCUUCAUCUUCCGAACCUUGAAGAAAUUUCCUUGGGAAACAAUCAGCUGGAAGGGGAAAUUCCAUUGUUCAUAACAAAUUCUUCCAAGCUUGAGGUACUUGUCCUAAUUAAUAACUUUCUCACUGGAACUAUUCCUGUUAAUUUGGGAAAUCUUCGUGAGCUGCACUCACUGCUCCUACAUACUAAUCAACUUGCAAAUGAACCAAGAGAGCAUGAGUAGAGAUUCUUCAAUUCUUUGACGGACUGUAGGAUCUUGCAACAUCUACAAGUGGGUUCCAAUCCGAUGAAUGGCAUUCUGCCUAAUUCAAUUGGGAAUCUUUCAUCUACUCUUGAAAACAUUGAAAUAGGAGAUGCACUCAUCAACUGCCCCAUCCCCACAAGUAUAGGAAACAUGAGCGGUCUAAUGUCCCUAGAUUUUAAAUUAAACAACUUGAUGGGGAGUAUUCCUUUAGAGGUUUGUAAGCUUAAACAACUACAAGGGCUGUAUCUAACUUAUAAUAAAAUGCAAGGACAUAUUCCAGAUGUGGUAUGCCAGUUAUCUAAUUUGGUUCAAUUAAGUUUGUAUGGUAAUGAGCUCUCUGGAUUAAUUCCAGGAUGUUUAGGAAAUCUUAAGAUGCUACAAAAGCUUGAUUUGGGUUCCAAUCAUUUUUCAUCCAAAUUUCCCUUGAAUCUUUGGAAAAUGAGCGGUCUUCUUUAUCAAACAGUGUCAUGCAAUUCUUUAGAGGGAGAAGUUCCAUCAGAUAUUGGAGAACUGAAAGCCAUUGUAAAACUAGAUCUUUCCGGUAACCACUUUUCAGGCAUGUUACCAACCAGGUUGGGGGAACUCCAGAAUCUGCAGUCUCUUGACCAAUCGAACAAUUCAUUUUUUGGCCAAAUUCCAUUAUCCUUUGCCAACUUGAUAAGCUUGGAAUUCAUGGAUUUGUCCUUAAAUGCCUUGUCGGGUACUAUUCCUAAGUCUUUGGAAAAGCUCUCAUAUCUAAAAAGCAUUAAUGUUUCAUUUAAUGAUUUAGAAGGUGCAAUACCCAGUGGUGGUGUGUUUGCAAAUUCCACUCUGCGAUCAUUUCUUGGGAACAAAGGUCUAUGUGGAAUGCACAAAUUAAAGGUUCCUGCUUGCCCUAUCACUAAUCCUGGGAAACAAUCAAAGUCUAAAGAGCUUGUGCUGAAAAUUGUUAUUCCAGUGGUUACUUCAUCCUUUCUGAUACUCUUGUUGGUUUCAAUUUGGGUGAUGAAGCGAAAGAAGAAAGGAAAGUCUAAAGAUGUCGAAAAGGUUUGGGAGAUCACUUAUCAAUUGAUUUCUUUUCAUGAGAUUCAACUAGCAACAAAUAAUUUUGAUGGAUCAAAUUUAAUUGGUGUGGGAAGUUUUGGCUCUGUGUACAAAGGCACAUUAUCUAGCGGAACUGUUGUGGCCAUAAAGGUUCUGAAUUUAGAAAAUAGGAAGUAUGCAAGAGGUUUGAUGCCGAAUGCGAAGUGAUGAGAAAUGUUAGACACAGAAAUCUUGUUCCUGUGAUUACUACUUGUUCUAGCGACUGUAUAAGAGCCUUCGUUCUGCAAUAUAUGCCCAAUGGAAGUCUUGAGAAUUGGUUGUACAAAGAAGAGUCCCACUUGAACCUCCUACAAAGAGUAUCCAUAAUGCUUGAUGUGGCUGUGGCAAUUGAAUAUGUACAUCGUGGUCAUAACACUACAAUAGUUCAUUGCUACCUAAAGCCAGCAAACGUUCUUUUCGAUGAAGAUAUGAUGGCACAAGUUGGUGAUUUUGGAAUCUCGAAGAUCUUAGCCGUAAGCAAGUCCAUGGCACAUACUGAGACAUUGGGCACUCUUGGAUACAUCGCACCAGAAUAUGGCUCAGAAGGAAUAGUGUCUACUAGUGGUGAUAUUUAUAGUUACGGCAUCAUGUUGAUGGAGGUUUUGGCAGCAAGAAGACCAACAGAUGAAGAGAUAUUCAAUGAAAAUCUUGACUUGAGGGAGUGGAUAAGGCGAGCAUUUCCAAGAAUUAUGAUGGAAGUUGUUGAUGCCAAUCUUUUUCCUGAGGAAGAACAAAUCACUUCCAAAAGUGAAAUCUGCAUAGCCUCAAUGGUAGACUUGGCUUUAGACUGCACAAAGAAAACGCCAGGAUCAAGAAUAACCAUGAAAGAUGUAGUCAAGAGGCUUAAGAAAAUCAAGAACGGAUUUCUGGAAGCUUAGAAACUUAGCUUCUCUUCGGAUGGUCUUGUUUCUGAGCUGCAAGUUAAUAUGUUGCUUUUAAUUGUCCUGGUUUCUUUAGUAAAGUCGACGUAAAAUACUUAAGAGUCAUGUACUGCUUGUACUUCAGAGUGUUGCAUUUCACUCAUUUUGUGAUUUCAGAUUUCAGCGAACUUGGUUCAAUUUUUCAAGUAAUUAUGAUUCAAGAAAUAUUUUGAAGGUUUUUCGCUGCAUUAUUUUUCUUUCUGUUUGCAAGUUUGGAAACAUCUCUUAUUCCCUCAUAUUUUUUUAUUCAAUAACUCAUUCCUUUGCAUUAAUUCAGUAACUUUUUUUGUUAACAUAAAAGUUUAAGUAUAAGUUGGAGGUUUCAAAAAAAAAAAAAAAAAAAAAACUUUGCUAGCAUGGGA
This is an RNA transcript of Capsicum annuum, 3884 nucleotides long. It is a transcript of the gene named receptor kinase-like protein Xa21, with no coding region annotated. The record is from RefSeq and is a predicted model, not a curated record. NCBI's taxonomy places the organism in Eukaryota, Viridiplantae, Streptophyta, Magnoliopsida, Solanales, Solanaceae. The transcript has 2 exons.